This 647-nucleotide ribosomal RNA is filed under the name uncultured bacterium. Its description in RNAcentral is "bacterial SSU rRNA". It matches the Rfam family "Bacterial small subunit ribosomal RNA", at positions 8 to 656 of the family's 1533-position model. The record is from RNAcentral.
AGAGUUUGAUCAUGGCUCAGAUUGAACGCUGGCGGCAGGCCUAACACAUGCAAGUCGAACGGUAACAUUUCUAGCUUGCUAGAAGAUGACGAGUGGCGGACGGGUGAGUAAUGCUUGGGAACUUGCCUUUGCGAGGGGGAUAACAGUUGGAAACGACUGCUAAUACCGCAUAAUGUCUUCGGACCAAACGGGGCUUAGGCUCCGGCGCAAAGAGAGGCCCAAGUGAGAUUAGCUAGUUGGUAAGGUAACGGCUUACCAAGGCGACGAUCUCGAGCUGUUCUGAGAGGAAGAUCAGCCACACUGGGACUGAGACACGGCCCAGACUCCUACGGGAGGCAGCAGUGGGGAAUAUUGCACAAUGGGGGAAACCCUGAUGCAGCCAUGCCGCGUGUGUGAAGAAGGCCUUCGGGUUGUAAAGCACUUUCAGUUGUGAGGAAAAGUUAGUAGUUAAUACCUGCUAGCCGUGACGUUAACAACAGAAGAAGCACCGGCUAACUCCGUGCCAGCAGCCGCGGUAAUAGGGUGCGAGCGUUAAUCGGAAUUACUGGGCGUAAAGCGCACGCAGGCGGUUUGUUAAGCUAGAUGUGAAAGCCCCGGGCUCAACCUGGGAUGGUCAUUUAGAACUGGCAGACUAGAGUCUUGGAGAG